Molecule: long non-coding RNA, 691 nt
Filed under: Aedes aegypti (yellow fever mosquito)
Lineage: Eukaryota; Metazoa; Arthropoda; Insecta; Diptera; Culicidae
Description: lncRNA AAEL027843
Source: RNAcentral
AUUUUGAUUCACCACGGUAAUGCAAAUUUGACACAAACUGUGGGAUUUUUUUUCAAUUCUGCUGUACGGCCUACUUAGCAAUACAACGUUUGCAGGGACAACUAGUUGUUCAUAAACAUGGGCAUGGUAGUUGUUGCGUACACCCUACGCGAGAACUCACACAGUCCAACAACUCGUUAACCGCAGACCCGUAAUCGAUUACUUUGCCCGAAGAUGUAAAGGUUGCUGCGAUCGUUGACAGCUGAGUGGGAGCCUGUCAUAUCGAUACGAGACAAGAGGAGUGUAGAUGUCAUAGCAAUAGCAUGCGUGAUGUGCUCUGGAUUGAAUUUAUUGAAAUCGCUAAUAAUUGUGAAUUAAUAGUAAAUUUGAACUCGCUAUCCAUCAGUUAAUCCCAGUAAAUUUGUAGAAACUAGAAUAACGGAUAGGUGAGAUAUUCCAAUUCGUAUAAACCUUAAACACGAGUCACUAUUGUCUGAUUUUAGGUUAGCCUUGAUCGUAGAUUUGUACGGCCAAUACGUGUAUCUAAUAGUGCUGAUAACGCUUAAAACGCCAUUGAAUUGAAAUUGGAAGCACAUAAAUUGAAAUAGAUCCAAACCCGUAGAUAGCUACAGGAAUCUUACAAACGUAAGUAACAUAAAAUUUGUACAACUAAGCAAUACUUAUAAUUGAAUUAAUUACAGGAGAAUUUUAA